This 525-nucleotide ribosomal RNA is filed under the name uncultured bacterium. RNAcentral describes it as "bacterial SSU rRNA". It matches the Rfam family "Bacterial small subunit ribosomal RNA", at positions 47 to 561 of the family's 1533-position model. The record is from RNAcentral.
CCUAACACAUGCAAGUCGAACGGUAACAGGAAGAAGCUUGCUUCUUUGCUGACGAGUGGCGGACGGGUGAGUAAUGUCUGGGAAACUGCCUGAUGGAGGGGGAUAACUACUGGAAACGGUAGCUAAUACCGCAUAACGUCGCAAGACCAAAGAGGGGGACCUUCGGGCCUCUUGCCAUCGGAUGUGCCCAGAUGGGAUUAGCUAGUAGGUGGGGUAACGGCUCACCUAGGCGACGAUCCCUAGCUGGUCUGAGAGGAUGACCAGCCACACUGGAACUGAGACACGGUCCAGACUCCUACGGGAGGCAGCAGUGGGGAAUAUUGCACAAUGGGCGCAAGCCUGAUGCAGCCAUGCCGCGUGUAUGAAGAAGGCCUUCGGGUUGUAAAGUACUUUCAGCGGGGAGGAAGGGAGUAAAGUUAAUACCUUUGCUCAUUGACGUUACCCGCAGAAGAAGCACCGGCUAACUCCGUGCCAGCAGCCGCGGUAAUACGGAGGGUGCAAGCGUUAAUCGGAAUUACUGGGCGU